Molecule: long non-coding RNA, 496 nt
Filed under: Phoenix dactylifera (date palm)
Lineage: Eukaryota; Viridiplantae; Streptophyta; Magnoliopsida; Arecales; Arecaceae
Description: long non-coding RNA (PDAC_LNC015051)
Source: RNAcentral
AUCGAAGUGGCAAGGGCAAAAUGGGAAUUUAAUAAUAUUAAACAAAGGGUGAAUAGUGUUUUGAUGUGAUUUAAUUAGGGGGUUUGCUGUGGCUUUUGGAUGGAAACCGAGAGAGAGUCACAGAGGGAGUCUCAGACGGACAGAGAGGAAGAAAAAGAAGGAGAGGAAAGGAAAGGAAGAAAGGAAGAGGAAAGGAAAGGAAGAAAGGAAGAGGAAGGAGAUCCCGGUGGCGCUGCCAGCUGAAGGGAAAAGUGUAGAUCUCCUUCCCCUCUACGCAAGGACCUCGAUUUUCAAAAAGAAAAAGGUAAAUAUCCGUCCCUAUCUAGUCUUUUGAUGACAUUAGGCUAUACAAAGGGUGGAUAUAAUUUAGAGGGGUCGGAUAAGAGUUGUAGAGGCGGUUAAAAGAGGAAGAAUCGGAUUUUGACAAAUUUUUCCGGCACUACGGAAAAACUGUGUCGAAGUCCCAACUUCGGCAAAUUAUUUAGGGGGUCAAACG